UCGUCCAACCUGGGAAACGACAGGCCAGUUCCUGGAUUCCGAUGUCGGCCUAGAAAGCGGCUAAGUAGUUUGCUUGUGGCUAACUCAAGGAGGACUAAAACGACCCACACACACCACAGGGAAGACAACUCUACACGUCGACAUUAGGGUACCUCCAGCAGUAAAUCCACAGCGCUAGGGCAUGAAGAAGGAGCUGGAACCAAUGAAAAGAAGAGGGCUGGCAUGUGUCCAUCUACAUGACGCCCAAGCUGUGUGUGACUUUCCUUAAGGGAUGCAGAAUGAGAGAGGAGAGCGUUCUGCAGAGAAGCUGGAGGUGGGAAAGGUCCCUGCUACACCCAUCCCAAAGCAAGCACAGUGGCACCUUGCUGAGCUCCAUUGGGCUUCUUUAUGGAAUGAGUUGAUUCUGUCAUUGUAUCAACAGACCAAGUGAAAACUGAAACAGGCUCUUGGAUGAUUUUUUUUUUUUUUUUUUUUACCUUUUUAAAAGCCUUUAAACACAAGGACAUUAACUGGUUAACAAUUUUUUUUGACAACUUAAA
Molecule: long non-coding RNA, 539 nt
Organism: Poecilia latipinna (sailfin molly)
Lineage: Eukaryota; Metazoa; Chordata; Actinopteri; Cyprinodontiformes; Poeciliidae
Exons: 2
Source: RefSeq, a predicted model, not a curated record